Non-coding RNA from Cinara cedri, 300 nucleotides. Lineage: Eukaryota; Metazoa; Arthropoda; Insecta; Hemiptera; Aphididae. The record is from the annotation of a GenBank genome assembly.
UAUCCCGUUGUUUGUGUUCAAUUCCUACCCGAGUUUUACGACUUUUAAAAUGAAGGGGCUGAGGACACGCUUAACCCAAAAACCCAAAGCUUUAUUUUUGGUUGUUAUCAGCGGUCACCACUAUGCAUAUAACAUAUUACUACAUAAUAUAAUAGGUAAAAUAAUUUAUUAAAUUAUAUUUUGUGGAGUUUUACUAUUUGUUCGCAGCCAAGUAGUUGUUAUGUAUAGUAGUGUUUAAUGACAACAUAAUAUUUCUUUUGAGUUUGCAGUAAACCACUUACGUGAAGUUGCCCCGCCCCC